Molecule: ribosomal RNA, 332 nt
Filed under: uncultured bacterium
Lineage: Bacteria
Description: bacterial SSU rRNA
Rfam family: Bacterial small subunit ribosomal RNA
Source: RNAcentral
CGCGUAGGCGGCCCUGUAAGUCCGUUGUGAAAGUCAAAGGCUCAACCUUUGAAAGCCGAUGGAUACUGCAGGGCUAGAGUCCGGAAGAGGCGAGUGGAAUUCCUGGUGUAGCGGUGGAAUGCGCAGAUAUCAGGAGGAACACCAAUAGCGAAGGCAGCUCGCUGGGACGGUACUGACGCUAAGGCGCGAAAGCGUGGGGAGCGAACAGGAUUAGAUACCCUGGUAGUCCACGCCGUAAACGAUGGGCACUAGGUGUGGGAGGUGUCGACUCCUCCCGUGCCGUCGCUAACGCACUAAGUGCCCCGCCUGGGGAGUACGGCCGCAAGGCUAAA